This 492-nucleotide ribosomal RNA is filed under the name uncultured bacterium. RNAcentral's name for it is "partial 16S ribosomal RNA". It matches the Rfam family "Bacterial small subunit ribosomal RNA", at positions 29 to 507 of the family's 1533-position model. The record is from RNAcentral.
AGUGAACGCUGGCGGUAGGCCUAACACAUGCAAGUCGAACGGCAGCACAGUAAGAGCUUGCUCUUACGGGUGGCGAGUGGCGGACGGGUGAGGAAUACAUCGGAAUCUACUUUUUCGUGGGGGAUAACGUGGAGAAACUUACGCUAAUACCGCAUACGACCUACGGGUGAAAGCAGGGGAUCUUCGGACCUUGCGCGAUUGAAUGAGCCGAUGUCGGAUUAGCUAGUUGGCGGGGUAAAGGCCCACCAAGGCGACGAUCCGUAGCUGGUCUGAGAGGAUGAUCAGCCACACUGGAACUGAGACACGGUCCAGACUCCUACGGGAGGCAGCAGUGGGGAAUAUUGGACAAUGGGCGCAAGCCUGAUCCAGCCAUACCGCGUGGGUGAAGAAGGCCUUCGGGUUGUAAAGCCCUUUUGUUGGGAAAGAAAAGCAGCAGGUUAAUACCCCGCUGUUCUGACGGUACCCAAAGAAUAAGCACCGGCUAACUUCGUG